This 533-nucleotide ribosomal RNA is filed under the name Alteromonas sp. Its description in RNAcentral is "bacterial SSU rRNA". It matches the Rfam family "Bacterial small subunit ribosomal RNA", at positions 380 to 905 of the family's 1533-position model. Lineage: Bacteria; Pseudomonadati; Pseudomonadota; Gammaproteobacteria; Alteromonadales; Alteromonadaceae. The record is from RNAcentral. RNAcentral also lists the same sequence under 1 other name.
GACCUGAUGCAGCCAUGCCGCGUGUGUGAAGAAGGCCUUCGGGUUGUAAAGCACUUUCAGUUGUGAGGAAAAGUUAGUAGUUAAUACCUGCUAGCCGUGACGUUAACAACAGAAGAAGCACCGGCUAACUCCGUGCCAGCAGCCGCGGUAAUACGGAGGGUGCGAGCGUUAAUCGGAAUUACUGGGCGUAAAGCGCACGCAGGCGGUUUGUUAAGCUAGAUGUGAAAGCCCCGGGCUCAACCUGGGAUAGUCAUUUAGAACUGGCAGACUAGAGUCUUGGAGAGGGGAGUGGAAUUCCAGGUGUAGCGGUGAAAUGCGUAGAUAUCUGGAGGAACAUCAGUGGCGAAGGCGACUCCCUGGCCAAAGACUGACGCUCAUGUGCGAAAGUGUGGGUAGCGAACAGGAUUAGAUACCCUGGUAGUCCACACCGUAAACGCUGUCUACUAGCUGUUUGUGACUUUAAGUCGUGAGUAGCGAAGCUAACGCGCUAAGUAGACCGCCUGGGGAGUACGGCCGCAAGGUUAAAACUCAAA